GAAAACCUACAAUGUAGACAUUUAUAUGGCCAUUGAUGGAGUCCAACCAACUCAGACAACCUCUCAUACAGAAAGAACACAAAAUGACCUCUUGUUCUAGACCAAUAGAAAACACACAAGUUGUGUAAGAAGGAAAGCGAACCAAGCAAGGUAAUGCCUGGUGCCACUUCCAGGAUUAGAAAACAGACCAUAUUGUAUAACUGUAACAUAUGCUAUCUCCAUGAUUUAGAGAGAUCGAAUUAGUGAUCAUAGCACACAGAUAAGAAUGAAG
Molecule: long non-coding RNA, 271 nt
Filed under: Eucalyptus grandis
Lineage: Eukaryota; Viridiplantae; Streptophyta; Magnoliopsida; Myrtales; Myrtaceae
Description: long non-coding RNA (EGRA_LNC007881)
Source: RNAcentral